This 497-nucleotide ribosomal RNA is filed under the name uncultured bacterium. Its description in RNAcentral is "partial 16S ribosomal RNA". It matches the Rfam family "Bacterial small subunit ribosomal RNA", at positions 28 to 507 of the family's 1533-position model. The record is from RNAcentral.
GAUGAACGCUGGCGGCGUGCCUAAUACAUGCAAGUCGAGCGAACGGACGAGAAGCUUGCUUCUCUGAUGUUAGCGGCGGACGGGUGAGUAACACGUGUAUAACCUACCUAUAAGACUGGGAUAACUUCGGGAAACCGGAGCUAAUACCGGAUAAUAUUUUGAACCGCAUGGUUCAAAAGUGAAAGACGGUCUUGCUGUCACUUAUAGAUGGAUCCGCGCUGCAUUAGCUAGUUGGUAAGGUAACGGCUUACCAAGGCAACGAUGCAUAGCCGACGUGAGAGGGUGAUAGGCCACACUGGAACUGAGACACGGUCCAGACUCCUACGGGAGGCAGCAGUAGGGAAUCUUCCGCAAUGGGCGAAAGCCUGACGGAGCAACGCCGCGUGAGUGAUGACGGUCUUCGGAUCGUAAAACUCUGUUAUUAGGGAAGAACAUAUGUGUAAGUAACUGUGCACAUCUUGACGGUACCUAAUCAGAAAGCCACGGCUAACUACGUG